Molecule: ribosomal RNA, 306 nt
Filed under: uncultured bacterium
Lineage: Bacteria
Description: bacterial SSU rRNA
Rfam family: Bacterial small subunit ribosomal RNA
Source: RNAcentral
CCGCGUAAGCUCGUCUCUUGUAAGAGAGGCGAGGAGAGCAGAAAUGCGGCGACGGAGGGGCUCGCGGCCCAUCAGGUAGUAGGUGGGGUGAUGGCCUACCUAGCCGAUGACGGGUAGCUGGUCUGAGAGGAUGAUCAGCCAGACUGGGACUGAGAGACGGCCCAGACUCCUACGGGGGGCAGCAGGGGGGGAUUUUGCACAAUGGGCGGAAGCCUGAUGCAGCGACGCCGCGUGAGGGAGGAAGGGUUUCGGCCUGUAAACCUCUUUUGACAGGGAAGAUAAUGACGGUWCCUGUCGAAUUACUAC